This 524-nucleotide ribosomal RNA is filed under the name uncultured bacterium. Its description in RNAcentral is "partial 16S ribosomal RNA". It matches the Rfam family "Bacterial small subunit ribosomal RNA", at positions 28 to 523 of the family's 1533-position model. The record is from RNAcentral.
GACGAACGCUGGCGGCGUGCCUAAUACAUGCAAGUCGAACGCUUCUUUUUCCACCGGAGCUUGCUCCACCGGAAAAAGAGGAGUGGCGAACGGGUGAGUAACACGUGGGUAACCUGCCCAUCAGAAGGGGAUAACACUUGGAAACAGGUGCUAAUACCGUAUAACAAUCGAAACCGCAUGGUUUUGAUUUGAAAGGCGCUUUCGGGUGUCGCUGAUGGAUGGACCCGCGAUGCAUUAGCUAGUUGGUGAGGUAACGGCUCACCAAGGCCACGAUGCAUAGCCGACCUGAGAGGGUGAUCGGCCACAUUGGGACUGAGACACGGCCCAAACUCCUACGGGAGGCAGCAGUAGGGAAUCUCCGGCAAUGGACGAAAGUCUGACCGAGCAACGCCGCGUGAGUGAAGAAGGUUCUCGGAUCGUAAAACUCUGUUGUUAGAGAAGAACAAGGAUGAGAGUAACUGUUCAUCCCUUGACGGUAUCUAACCAGAAAGCCACGGCUAACUACGUGCCAGCAGCCGCAGUAA